Molecule: ribosomal RNA, 441 nt
Filed under: uncultured bacterium
Lineage: Bacteria
Description: partial 16S ribosomal RNA
Rfam family: Bacterial small subunit ribosomal RNA
Source: RNAcentral
CCUACGGGAGGCAGCAGUGGGGAAUAUUGCACAAUGGGGGAAACCCUGAUGCAGCGACGCCGCGUGAGUGAAGAAGUUUUUCGGUAUGUAAAGCCCUAUCAGCAGGGAAGAAAAAAGACGGUACCUGACUAAGAAGCCCCGGCUAACUCCGUGCCAGCAGCCGCGGUAAUACGUAGGGGGCAAGCUUUAUCCGGAUUUACUGGGUGUAAAGGGAGAGUAGACGGGAUGGCAAGUCUGAAGUGAAAGCCCAGGGCUUAACCAUGGAACUGCUUUGGAAACUGUUAGACUAGAGUGCGGGAGAGGUAAGUGGAAUGCCUAGUGUAGCGGUGAAAUGCGUAGAUAUUAGGAGGAACACCAGUGGCGAAGGCGGCUUACUGGACAGUAACUGACGUUGAGGCGCGAAAGCGUGGGGAGCAAACAGGAUUAGAUACCCCUGUAGUC